CGAAACCUCGACUCUCCGGCGUCCGUUCCAAUUCCAUGGCCAAACAACUUUUCAGUUCGGCCACCACUUGGUUCAUCGUCGGUCUUCUUGCAGAGUUCCCAGAUACACAACUUAACGCCACCUCCACUGCCUUCCAAACUGAGUCUGCAGCUGAUUAUCUCCAACAGAGCCACUCCAAAGCUGUACACAUCGCUUUUCUCCGUCAGCCUGUUCGAUAAGUAGUAGCUGAAAGACAAGCCAUGAGGUUAAAUUUAUUAGGGUUUCGAAAAUACUAAAUAGGAUCUUCUACUUUGAUAUCAUGUUGGGUCACUGUAGAAUUUAUUGUUUCGUUGGUUCAUAUUCUUUAAUCUAAGAUGCAAAAGAGAUCAUAUUGACUUGGAAAUUGGGAGGGAGUGAAUCAAAUUUGGAUCCUGUUCUUACUCUGGAUCAAGGUAACCAGGGGUGCCAGCAACAAUGGUGGACAUGUAGUUGUUAGUCUUGUUGCCAUCUACUGGGAAGCUUUUGGAUAAACCAAAAUCUGCAAGUUUGGCUUGGAAAUUCUCUGUCAAUAAGAUGUUUGUUGUUUUCACAUCUCUGUGGAUUAUGGGUGGUUUGCAACCGUCGUGCAGUUGCAGGUGAAUUUACAAUAAUUUCAUUGACCAAGGGAUAUACAUUAAAAGGUUUUUGUAUGGAUGAUUCUUUUUCAAGCGUGUUUAUGAUUGAUGAUCCAUCCCCGACAAAGUAUGAAUUCUAACCCUUUUUUAUAAUGUAUUGCGUCAGGGAUGACCAUAUCUAUGGUAGUCCUAACACGAUAGCUAUCUCUAUCGCGAUUUCUAAUUUUUCUAUCCAAAAAAAACAAAGUGUGAGAAAAAUUAAGGAAAACACAACAAAUUAACGGUACACAUUCUAAUGUAUCGUGUUAGGAAUGACCAUGUGUAGCUCGAAUGCGAUCUAUCUCUAUUACGAACUUAUUUUUCUCACCCAAAAUACAACAAACUUUGAGAAAAAAAAUAAGGAAAACGCAAUAGAAAAAUGGAGAUCGCAAUAGAGAUGAUCAUCGCGUUAGUGCUACAUAGAUAUGGUCACCUCUAGCGUGAUACAUUAUAUAUAUAUAAAAAAAAAAAAAAAAACAGUAGUGGGAUGUGACGUAAACAAAAGCAAUUUGAAAAUGGUCACUCGUAAAAAAAAACUCUAUACAUUAAUAUCUUUUGAUGUUUAUGAAAAAAAAAAUGAAGUUUUGUUAAUGGUAUUUGUAGUUUUGCAAAAUUAAAUUUAUUUAAUAGUUAUUAUGAUUUUCCCCCAAUAAUUUGGGGUUGAAAUUCAAAUGUUUUUGUUUUAAUAUAAUUGGGGCAGGUAUAUUCGAACCACAAAUCCAUGAUUACUAACACUUAUAUACUAAUUGAGUUAUGCUUGAUUUAGAUGAAAUUGGAACCUUAAGAAUAAGAAUAAUGUAUAAUCUUUAAUUAUUGUAUUUUAGAUGACGAUCACUUCUAAUUUCUAGAAGCUUAAAUGUUAUGUUGUUUAUUAUUAUUGGCUUUAUAUUUUGAUUAAAAUUUACCCCAGUUUAGAAAAAUCACCUAGUUAAGUUAUGGAUAGGUACAAUUAAAGAAACACGGGGUGUUUGGAGAGCUGAAUUAGUUACUAUAGUCAGUAGUGUCUAUGGGUUAUAAUAGUCUGUAUGUAAGGGAGUGCUUAGGUCCCCAACUUUAAGUCGGUGGGAGUGGGCUAUAAUUAUAGCCCACUCCAAGUUCAGGGGUCCAAUAGUAAUAGUUGGUGUUACCAAUUGUUAUAACUUACAAUUAAUUAUAAUAUUACUAUUUUAAAUCACUCUUUAUUAUAGUGUUUAUAAUUUUUAUUAUAGUGUUUACUAUUUCUUACUUAUAAUUUCUCUCUUUUUGUUAACGUGUUUAUUAUUUCUUAUCCAGACUAAAAUAGUCUGCAUCUCAAAUACAAACUAUUAUAACCCAUUUAUUAUAAUAAGACUGUAAUAACCAACUUAGUUCCAAACACCUCCAUGGUUAUAAUAGUCUGUGUUUGAAGCAAAAACUAUUUUAGUUUAGGUAGAAAAUAGUAAACAUUGUAAUAGCAGAAAAUAGUAAACACUAACAAAUAGUAAACAUAUGAUAACAAAGAGGGGAUUUGAAAUAGUAAAUAACAUAGUUAUAUGUAGGUUAUACUAGUUAGAAGGGAUUAUUAAAGAUUCAAUCCAUUUUGAAAAUUAUUUUAAAAAAUGUCCAAAUAAUUGGAUAUUUUCAUAUAAGGGAUUUAAUGAAAUUUUUGGACCAAAAUAACCCUUAGGUCGGUUGGAUAGAAAAUAUGCAUUGAAAAAAUCUUUUCAUAUUUACAAAGUACCUUUAAUAUUGGAGAGAGAAAUUGCAUUUAUUGUAGACUAUUAAUUAGUUGAGAUUUUCUUCCCAUUUUCAAUCGGAGAGAGAAUACAUUUAAGAUGAAACUUCUCUAAGUUAAAUAAAUCUUUGGAAAGUAAAAAUGGAGAGGUUUUAAGAUUGAGUUGACAUGAAUUAAAAGUGCAGAAAAUAAAAUAGGUUGAGAAAGAUACACGAGAUUACCUUCGUCGAUUAAGAUGAUGUCGAUUCCUAAAUUAACUAAGUAUUGCCACGCAAGCUUGUUCACUUAGCUAAUUGCAUUGAGUAGUUGGAUUGAUUAGAACAUUAGAUUAAAUUGGCCAAAUCUAACCUAACACAUUUUUAUUCCCUAGGCAGUUUAUCUAUCGUUAUUGGGUGAUCCUAGAAAAGCUAGCAAUCAAAACUAUAACUAUAAUUAAAAUUAAUCAUGCUAUUGAUACAAUUACGAAUAACAGAAAACUCAUAAACAUUUCAAGAAAAAUCUCAUUAAACCAUAAAAAGUGUCCAACAAACCUCAAACGAUGUUUGGGCCUUUAAUAGUUCGUCAAUAUAUGAAUCUUGAUGCCAAAAUAACGAUUAUAGAGCAAAACAUGAAGAAAUCUCUAGGGUUUUGGCCAAGAAAGACCAAAGCCGAGCCUAAAGGUAUAAAAAUUGGUUAAUCUCUCAUCCCUUUAACCUAAAUUCAAAGCAAAUUAUUUAUAGACAAGGCAAAACGUUGCAACACUAAAGGAUUUUUUAUGUCGCAGCGUCUGGAGUUUGUAGCGUCGUAGUGCUGAUGGCAACGUUGCAACGCUGGCCUGUUAUUUCCACUACUUCCUUUCAGCAUAGCAAUGCAAUGUAGAGGUAGAGUCGUGACGCUUUGAGCGAUGUGAUGCCUCUGCCAAUGAGCGUAGCUCUACACCAAUGGAGGGUUGCAAUACAACACAGGGGCAUUUUGGUCAUUUGGCCUCUAAUUCCCAGUUGAUGCAAUUAACCUCCAAUUUGGCUCGUUUUAGCUUCAUUUCGCUACUAAUGUCCCAUUUUAUCCCUUAAAUUCUCAAAACCUAGAAAAUAGCAAAAUAAACACAUAAAAUCCUAGGAUAAUCUCAAAUUAAGUGGAGUUAUAUAGCACAUUUAUCAAGCGACAAGAGCAAUUCAAAUGAUGGUGGAUGGCGAGAACUUCUAGAUUGGUGAUUUCAAACAAACGAUGGCAACACCCAUGAUGUAGUUUAGAGAACGACAUGGAGAUUCAGAGAGGCUUGUCAAACGACGACAAUUGCUAGGUUGGUGCGAUCUCACCAAAAUCGAAGGUUGAUUGCGCCGCUUGUUUGAAAUCAGCAACAAAUAGACUCCGACGAAAGACACAAUGGGAUGAAGACGAGAGGGUUCUUGCGCAUGCAAUCCAAGAAGAACCAAGGCGAAACUUCCUCUUCUACUUUUUGUAACCUUAAACAUACAAAAUAUAUACUGUGAUUUACAUAUUCGUUUAUUUUAUAUAAAUGA
Long non-coding RNA from Benincasa hispida (wax gourd), 3824 nucleotides. RefSeq lists it as uncharacterized. The record is from RefSeq and is a predicted model, not a curated record. NCBI's taxonomy places the organism in Eukaryota, Viridiplantae, Streptophyta, Magnoliopsida, Cucurbitales, Cucurbitaceae.